This 317-nucleotide ribosomal RNA is filed under the name uncultured bacterium. Its description in RNAcentral is "bacterial SSU rRNA". It matches the Rfam family "Bacterial small subunit ribosomal RNA", at positions 28 to 334 of the family's 1533-position model. The record is from RNAcentral.
GAUGAACGCUAGCUACAGGCUUAACACAUGCAAGUCGAGGGGCAGCAUGAAAGGAACUUCGGUUCUUUUUGAUGGCGACCGGCGCACGGGUGCGUAACGCGUAUCGAACCUGCCUCAUACUCGGGGAUAGCCUUGCGAAAGUAAGAUUAAUACCCGGCGGUCUCGGAUGGCCGCAUGACUGUCCGAGUGAAGAUUUAUCGGUAUGAGAUGGCGAUGCGUCCCAUUAGGCAGUUGGCGGGGUAACGGCCCACCAAACCGACGAUGGAUAGGGGUUCUGAGAGGAAGGUCCCCCACAUUGGUACUGAGACACGGCCCAG